Molecule: unclassified non-coding RNA, 2611 nt
Filed under: Leishmania donovani
Lineage: Eukaryota; Euglenozoa; Kinetoplastea; Trypanosomatida; Trypanosomatidae
Description: gene:LdHU3.24.2450(CDS-product:hypothetical_prote in_conserved)
Source: RNAcentral
AGUGAGCCCGUGCGGCGGCCGACCACAUCGCGGAGCAGAAAGUUGCAGCCGGCCGGCCCCCUCACACACAUACACACGCCCACCACUCUUCAUAAACACACACGUUCUAGAUACACGUCGCUACACACACACACACACACACACACACACGCACGGCGUAGCCCGCGGGACGGUUUGUCAGCCCUCCCGCGUCCGAGCACGCGGCACAUCAAGACGCUCAUGAAUCGCUCAGCAUCGCCCCCGCCGGCAUCGCCUUCGCCGGCGUCGCCGUCACCUUCGACGAUGCACAUCAUCACUGUCGCGCUGUGCGCGAGCUCCAAGAAGCAUCAGCAGUCCUUCGACGCGCUACGAGAGGCAGGGAAGCUGCACAAUGAGCACCUUCUCCAGAUGCGGCAGCACUCGGCGGCGAGGCAAGCUGGUUGCGGCGACGUUAGCGGCGAGGCAGGUGAAGCAAGCACAGCGGCGCAGCAGGAGGGCUGCGCCAGUGGCAACCGUGGCAUGAACUCGCAUUCCAGGAGCCGUAGGACAAGUCGCGCGACUUCCGAAGUCCUGGCGCACCCUGCGCGGAGUCGCAGCACGACCGAGGGCUCGCUGUCUUGCUCCGCCUUGAACAACUGCCUCUUCCGCUUUCUCAGCUUGAACUACGAUGCCCAGCGGCAUCGCAUGGUCCUGUGUAUCGACGGCGACAUGAAAGAAACGCACCAGUCCUCCGCUGCCGCCUUCGCGCAGGAAGGCAGUAAGGCCAGUGCAGAGCAGAGCCCCCGCGUAGACGCGCACGCGGGGACGGACGAAGCGGUCAGAGACGAGGACGAGCCGUCUCAAAGUGCGCUCAUGGACGAGGUGGAUGUGGUGCUGCACAAGGUGGCCACGUUUGGCACCCCGGUUGCCAUUCGUGCGCUUCAUCAGUGGUACAAGGGUGCGCAGAAGCGGCGAAGUCGCCGGCGCAGGGCGCCCCUCAUCGUGGUCGACCCCCUCGAAAAGGUUCAGCUGCUCAUGACGCGUAGUAUGCUGUGCAAGCUAUUGAACAACGUGGGCGAUGACGGGCAGCCCAUCGCGCUGACACCGCGCACAUUCAUGUGGGACUGCCCGCCCGACGCAGCCUGUCGCCACGCCAGGCGCACGAACGGGUCCAGCGCAGCCACUCCGCUCGGCAUCCACUCUUUCACGUCGAUAGAGGAGCAGAAGGAGGCGCGCGCGAACGGGACGGCGGCGGAACACUGGUGGAUCGCGAAGCCGGACGAGAGUACUGGUCCCGCCUUCACUCACCACCUGGUGAUGUGGCUCACGCGCGACGCCGAUGUCUCGGUGCCGGCAGCGGUGAAGGCUGCCCUCCCGACAGAGGCCUGUCGCUUCAUUCUGCAGGAGCUGUACGUGUACGCGCUCCCAGUGGUGCUGAAGGUGUACUGUGUCGGCUCGCACAUCAGCGUGAAGGUGAAUCCCACCGUGAGCCUGCUGAACUACCUCUGGGAGCACACACGCGGCUCGACUGUGGCAGAUGUACCAGUGGCAAUGGACUCGCAGGACAAGGCAUUCUUCUCGACCGUGGCCAGCGCCUCCACCUCCAGGUCGCAGCCUACGUUGUCUGCCAUGGCCAGUAGCACCGACGACGGUGCGCCGCCCGCCACAUCGCCAACGAUGAACGCGACCAACGCGGCCGGUGCCCCUCCGUCGCCUACGGAGCUGCCGCAGGGGACGUCGAGCGAAAGUGCCAGCGCUGAACAGUCGCUUAUUGCAUGGGAGUCGAUGGUUGUGCCGGCGGACAACUGGAACGCGUUCUUGGCCCCGGGCACUCCCGCCUACACCGCCAUCAGCAAACUGGCGCAGGACCUCUCUGGGGACGCCGGCAUUGGUCUCUCCCUGUACGGUUUCGAUAUAGUGCUCGUGCCGCAAUAUCUAGCACACACGUACCAGCGCAAGGGCGCGCGCGGCAUCGGGCGCACUGAAGGCGCAACCGUGCGGUACGAGGGGGCAGCGCCGUCGCUGUCGAAGGUGGCCCACCGCAGUGCCGACACCGCAGAGCCGGUGCAGCGGCUCCCUGCGAGCCAUAGCAUGCGCAAGCUACCGGGUGCCGGUGCCUCAGCACCGCCAAGUCCGGUGUCGCGGCUGUUUCGCGCCAGCGACAUGUUCGACCCCGCCUCCGGCGCGCCGACGUCGCUCUUGUUGGACAGCAUCCCAGUAGUCAUCGAUGUGAACUACUUCCCUGGUUACAAGGGAGUCGCCGAAGUGAACCAGCACAUGCUGGAGCUGAUCGCGCUCAAGUGCAUGCACUUGCAAGAUGGCUCAUCUAGCCGGACGUGGCACGCCGACACGGCGACUGGGGCAGGUGCGAAGAAGCGGCGGUGCUCGAUGAUGUAGCACAGGUGCCGCCAUGCUGCGAGCGAAAACGAAAUCGGAGCGCUGGCCGCGGGGCGUCUCCGGGUCGACUCAGGUAAAUGAGCUGUCAGGGGUCGUGGCGUCGUUGGCGAUGGUGACGUGCCGUGUUCCGCACGGCGGUCUGUGAGCGGGUGCAUGUGUUUUCCUCUCCGUUUUUUGCUUCUCUAUGUGCUCGUUCGCUACGGCGCGCCUUGCGUUUGGCACUGUGCCUCCCGCCAGCCACCCUUGGCGCACGCAC